UCUCCCGAUUAUCUCCCGAUAAUCCCUGGAGCUUUGAGCCUCUCCCCCACCGUGGGCUCUUGAGGGGCUCAGAGACCCCACCAGCCACCAUCUGGGGUGAAACGGCCUGACUGGGAACAGGAAAUGAACCUCACCCACCAACUCUUUGUAUUUGUCACACCCAGAACUUCCUCGUUGAAGGCAAGAACGUUUCAAAGGCCCCAGAUUCUUCACCCCAAUUUUUCUCUUAAAGAAAUCUGUGAAAAAGUAUAGUAGGUUAGAAACAAUAACGUUACAUGGACUAUUACCGUUAGCCAUGCACCAGUGUAUCCUACAGCAGGGCUCUACCUCUUCUCCCUGCCAUACAACGCCUCUCUGGCAUUCCUUUUGUGACUGAAGAUGUGUACCCACAGCUCUGUGUUUCCUCUUCCCUGCCCCCACUGGGUCCCACAGUUCUUUCUGUUUCUAUAAAUUUGACUACUUUACAUACCCCGUACUAGGAGAAGCAUAGGGUAUUUGUCUUUCUGUGACUUGCUCAUUUCACUUGGCAGAACGUCCAGAAUAUCCUUCUUUGCUAAGACUGAAGAACAUUCCGCUGUAUGUCGAUGCCUCAGCUUCUUUCUCCAUUCCUCUCUGGGUGUGGACACGCGGGGCGCUUGGCUCUGGAGAAGACCACUGCAACGAACGGGGAUGUGCAAGUAUCCUUGGGAACGUUGCUUCCAAUUCUUAUGGAUGUACAAUCAGGAGUGAGAUGGCCCCAUCACGUGAAGCGACAAGUUGAGUGUCAUCGUUGGAAAACAGGCAGCUGAUGGUCCGUUGCCAAGGUGACCCUUUUGUCCAGAUGAUUCUUCCAGACUCUCUGGGUAUGACCCAAGCCAUAUAUCUGAAAGCACGUCGUACAUGUGGACUCACAGAGUCAGUAUCUUCAAGCUCCAUGAGGAAAGGAAGAGAGGACAAAAUGUGGUUUGGAUCCCUUUCAUUCUACUCAGCCUGUAAGUACAGACAUGGAGUCAUUUCCAUUGAACAUAGAACACAGGGAAGAAGAAACGAUGCAGGUGGUGAAUAGGGACCCGGCCAGUGACGCUCUGAAUCUUCAGCUGCAACAUCCGGGCCAUGCUGGCCACCAGCAGGCUGCCAGCAAGCAGCACCGCGGGCUGUGGGACCUGGAGGUGCGGCUCCAGGUGGGACCUCGCUCCAGUCUGUGUUCUGUCAGCUGUCCCACCGCCCACCCACAUCCACCCCCACCGAGGCUGAGGACCUCCAGGCCCUGGUGGACACCGUGAGGAUCGUGUCCUGCUGGAUGGACUGCCCCCACCUCUCCUCUCUGGCCUCUCGCACAAGCUGGGACCAAGCCGAACCCGUCCCUGCGCCCCCCUCAGCGCCUUAACUGCACACAUAAUUCCAGCAUUCACUUCCGGUCUUCACACAGGCUCAGCCUGCACACGUCUCCUUCUAUUAAAGGUCUUUCCCGCCACGUGGGUGCUGCCGCAAGAAUCAUGAGAGUCACUAUUGAAUCUUUGGUCCCCCCCUGCCCCACGUGGAAUCUGUCACCCAAAGCUCUCCAGGUCCCCCACCUGCCCCGACAUUUCUCCUGUUUCUCUACCACUUUCUCCUCCACCGCGACCACGAGUCCAAAUUGUCAUUUCCUACGUGAACCUGGCGGGUCUAACCAACCUUGCAGGGCGUGAGGUUCCUACUGUUGCUGUGACAAACUACCACAACCGCAGUGGCUUCACACAACACAAUUUGUUAAUCCUAGAGUUUUGUAGCUCAGAAGCCUGACACAGAGCCACAGGGAUCGUCCAAGACAAUCUCCCCAUUUAAAGGCCAGCCUAGUAACAACCUUAAUUCCCCGUUGCCUUGUCCAGUCACGUAUUCACAGGCUCUGGGGAGCAGGGUGUGGACAUCCGGUGGGGUCACUCUUCUGCCUAUGACAGCUUCCACUGUCUCCUCUCUCUGGGGCCUUCUCUGGGCGGCAAGCAGAGAGAUGCCACCAGAAUAACGUCAUGUAAAUAGAUCAUGUCGCUUCUGGAAAACAGAUCCGUCAAACAACGAAUAAAUAGUCCCUUUAGA
Callorhinus ursinus (northern fur seal) is the source of this 2052-nucleotide long non-coding RNA. RefSeq lists it as uncharacterized. The record is from RefSeq and is a predicted model, not a curated record. Lineage: Eukaryota; Metazoa; Chordata; Mammalia; Carnivora; Otariidae.